This is a non-coding RNA of Arachis ipaensis, 192 nucleotides long. NCBI's taxonomy places the organism in Eukaryota, Viridiplantae, Streptophyta, Magnoliopsida, Fabales, Fabaceae. The record is from RefSeq and is a predicted model, not a curated record.
AGUUCUUUCAGACUUUCAGUUGGUCAGCUUUCCACGUGAGCUCCCUUCGACCCAGUUCUUUCAGACUUUCAGUGUCAAUUUCAGUGUAUCUUAGGGUUUAAAAUUAGAAUUUUAUGAUGGUGGACUGGUUGUUGUUGUUGUUGUUGUAAUACUUAUUGCUGAACCUGAGCAAAUUUUUUUUGUUGCUGUUAA